This 219-nucleotide ribosomal RNA is filed under the name Triticum aestivum (bread wheat). RNAcentral's name for it is "partial small subunit ribosomal RNA". Lineage: Eukaryota; Viridiplantae; Streptophyta; Magnoliopsida; Poales; Poaceae. The record is from RNAcentral.
AUGUGUGCCUUAGCAUGGAACUGCCGGGGGGCGGGGAACCGCCGGACAGUUCGGGAACUGCUGGCUCUUUGCCAGUCACAUAACCCCAGCCUCGUUUUUCUUUGUGAAACGAGGCAAACGAUGGAGAAGAUGGAGAAAAUGAGAUGGAGAUUGGGUCUGAAAGGUUUUGAAGGGGUAGGAAGUGAUGGAAAAAGUGGGGGCCUUGCUCUUUACUGGCAU